GGGCGAUUAGCUCAGACGGUUUAGAGCACCACGCUCACAUCGUGGGGGUCACUGGUUCGAUUCCAGCAUCGCCCA
Non-coding RNA from Spirochaetes bacterium GWF1_51_8, 75 nucleotides. The record is from Rfam. Lineage: Bacteria; Pseudomonadati; Spirochaetota.